AUACGGGGGGUGCAAGCGUUAAUCGGAAUUACUGGGCGUAAAGCGCGCGUAGGCGGUUAAAUAAGUUGGAUGUGAAAUCCCCGGGCUCAACCUGGGAACUGCAUUCAAAACUGUUUAACUAGAGUAUGGUAGAGGGAAGUGGAAUUCCAGGUGUAGCGGUGAAAUGCGUAGAUAUCUGGAGGAACAUCAGUGGCGAAGGCGACUUCCUGGAUCAAUACUGACGCUGAGGUGCGAAAGCGUGGGGAGCAAACAGGAUUAGAAACCCCAGUAGUCC
Molecule: ribosomal RNA, 274 nt
Filed under: uncultured bacterium
Lineage: Bacteria
Description: partial 16S ribosomal RNA
Rfam family: Bacterial small subunit ribosomal RNA
Source: RNAcentral